UGGGGAAUAUUGCACAAUGGGCGCAAGCCUGAUGCAGCCAUGCCGCGUGUGUGAAGAAGGCCUUCGGGUUGUAAAGCACUUUCAGCGAGGAGGAAGGUGGUGAGCUUAAUACGCUCAUCAAUUGACGUUACUCGCAGAAGAAGCACCGGCUAACUCCGUGCCAGCAGCCGCGGUAAUACGGAGGGUGCAAGCGUUAAUCGGAAUUACUGGGCGUAAAGCGCACGCAGGCGGUUUGUUAAGUCAGAUGUGAAAUCCCCGGGCUCAACCUGGGAACUGCAUUUGAAACUGGCAAGCUAGAGUCUCGUAGAGGGGGGUAGAAUUCCAGGUGUAGCGGUGAAAUGCGUAGAGAUCUGGAGGAAUACCGGUGGCGAAGGCGGCCCCCUGGACGAAGACUGACGCUCAGGUGCGAAAAGCGUGGGGAGCAAAACAGGAUUAGAUACCCUGGUAGUCCACGCUGUAAAACGAUGUCGAUUUUGGAGGUUGUGCCCUUGAGGCGUGGCUUCCGGAGCUAACGCGUUAAAUCGACCGCCUGGGGAGUACGGCCGCAAGGUUAAAACUU
This 559-nucleotide ribosomal RNA is filed under the name uncultured bacterium. RNAcentral's name for it is "partial 16S ribosomal RNA". It matches the Rfam family "Bacterial small subunit ribosomal RNA", at positions 355 to 902 of the family's 1533-position model. The record is from RNAcentral.